This 30-nucleotide non-coding RNA is filed under the name Homo sapiens (human). Lineage: Eukaryota; Metazoa; Chordata; Mammalia; Primates; Hominidae. The record is from RNAcentral.
UGUUUGGAGAAGGCGACCUUGUUGGGUUGG